UGGGGAAUAUUGGGCAAUGGACGCAAGUCUGACCCAGCGACGCCGCGUGCGGGAUGAAGGCCUUCGGGUUGUAAACCGCUUUCAGCAGGGAAGAAGCGAAAGUGACGGUACCUGCAAAAGAAGCACCGGCUAACUAUGUGCCAGCAGCCGCGGUAAUACAUAGGGUGCAAGCGUUGUCCGGAAUUAUUGGGCGUAAAGAGCUCGUAGGUGGUUAGUUACGUCGGGUGUGAAAAUCUGGGGCUCAACCCCAGACCUGCACUCGAUACGGGCUAGCUAGAGUUUGGUAGGGGAGACUGGAAUUCCUGGUGUAGCGGUGGAAUGCGCAGAUAUCAGGAGGAACACCAAUGGCGAAGGCAAUCCCCUGGACCUGUACUGACGCUCAUGCACGAAAGCGUGGGGAGCAAACAGG
This 409-nucleotide ribosomal RNA is filed under the name uncultured bacterium. RNAcentral describes it as "bacterial SSU rRNA". It matches the Rfam family "Bacterial small subunit ribosomal RNA", at positions 355 to 776 of the family's 1533-position model. The record is from RNAcentral.